Molecule: ribosomal RNA, 465 nt
Filed under: Vreelandella stevensii
Lineage: Bacteria; Pseudomonadati; Pseudomonadota; Gammaproteobacteria; Oceanospirillales; Halomonadaceae
Description: partial 16S ribosomal RNA
Rfam family: Bacterial small subunit ribosomal RNA
Source: RNAcentral
CCUACGGGUGGCUGCAGUGGGGAAUAUUGGACAAUGGGCGAAAGCCUGAUCCAGCCAUGCCGCGUGUGUGAAGAAGGCCUUCGGGUUGUAAAGCACUUUCAGUGGGGAAGAAAGCCUUGGGGCUAAUACCCUCGAGGAAGGACAUCACCCACAGAAGAAGCACCGGCUAACUCCGUGCCAGCAGCCGCGGUAAUACGGAGGGUGCGAGCGUUAAUCGGAAUUACUGGGCGUAAAGCGCGCGUAGGCGGUCUGAUAAGCCGGUUGUGAAAGCCCCGGGCUCAACCUGGGAACGGCAUCCGGAACUGUCAGGCUAGAGUGCAGGAGAGGAAGGUAGAAUUCCCGGUGUAGCGGUGAAAUGCGUAGAGAUCGGGAGGAAGACCAGUGGCGAAGGCGGCCUUCUGGACUGACACUGACGCUGAGGUGCGAAAGCGUGGGUAGCAAACAGGAUUAGAUACCCGAGUAGUC